Molecule: ribosomal RNA, 460 nt
Filed under: uncultured bacterium
Lineage: Bacteria
Description: partial 16S ribosomal RNA
Rfam family: Bacterial small subunit ribosomal RNA
Source: RNAcentral
CCUACGUGAGGCAGCAGUGAGGAAUAUUGGUCAAUGGGCGCGAGCCUGAACCAGCCAAGUAGCGUGAAGGAUGACUGCCCUACGGGUUGUACACUUCUUUUCUCAAGGCAUAAAGUGAGGCACGUGUGCCUUUUUGUAUGUACUUUCUGAAUAAGGAUCGGCUAACUCCGUGCCAGCAGCCGUGGUAAUACGGAGGAUCCGCGCGUUAUCCGGAUUUAUUGGGUUUAAAGGGAGCGUAGAUGGGUUGUUAAAUCAGUUGUGACAGUGUGCGGCUAAACCGUAAAAUUGCAAUUGAUACUGGCAGUCUUGAGUACAGUUGAGGUAGGCGGAAUUCGUGGUGUAGCGGUGAAAUGCUUAGAUAUCACGAAGAACUCCGAUUGCGAAGGCAGCUUACUAAACUUCCACUGACAUUGAUGCUCGAAAGUGUGGGUAUCAAACAGGAUUAGAUACCCUUGUAGUC